Molecule: ribosomal RNA, 253 nt
Filed under: uncultured prokaryote
Description: partial 16S ribosomal RNA
Rfam family: Bacterial small subunit ribosomal RNA
Source: RNAcentral
UACGGAGGGUGCAAGCGUUAAUCGGAAUUACUGGGCGUAAAGCGCACGUAGGUGGUUGAUUAAGUCAGCUGUGAAAUCCCCGGGCUCAACCUGGGACUUGCAGUUGAAACUGAUCAGCUAGAGUAGGGUAGAGGGGUGUGGAAUUCCAGGUGUAGCGGUGAAAUGCGUAGAUAUCGGGAGGAACACCUGUGGCGAAAGCGGCGCACUGGACCAUAACUGACGCUGAGGCGCGAAAGCUAGGGGAGCAAACAGG